CCAGCUCCAGUAGCGUAUAUUAAAGUUGUUGCAGUUAAAAAGCUCGUAGUUGAAGUUCUGCAUUAGCCCGAGCGCCCCUAGGGUGCGACGGCUGGUGCAUCCGCUUGAGCAGCCAGCGGGUAUUGAUUUAUCCGUAUGGUGAUCAGGCACUUUACCUUGAGAAAAUUAGAGUGUUCCAGGCAGGCAAUCGCCUGAAUAGUACAGCAUGGAAUAAUAGAAGAGGACUAAGCCUCAGAGUUGGUGCUUGGGGUUUAGUAAUGAUUAAUAGGGACAGUUGGGGGCAUUCGUAUUUAAUUGUCAGAGGUGAAAUUCUAUGAUUAAUUAAAGACGAACCUAUGCGAAAGCAUUUGCCAAGGAUGUUUUCA
RNAcentral lists this ribosomal RNA (365 nucleotides) under Linostomella sp. Its description in RNAcentral is "SSU rRNA". It matches the Rfam family "Eukaryotic small subunit ribosomal RNA", at positions 585 to 972 of the family's 1831-position model. The record is from RNAcentral. RNAcentral also lists the same sequence under 1 other name. Lineage: Eukaryota; Ciliophora; Heterotrichea; Heterotrichida; Condylostomatidae.